This is a long non-coding RNA of Zonotrichia albicollis (white-throated sparrow), 366 nucleotides long. RefSeq lists it as uncharacterized. NCBI's taxonomy places the organism in Eukaryota, Metazoa, Chordata, Aves, Passeriformes, Passerellidae. The record is from RefSeq and is a predicted model, not a curated record.
CUUCCCUGUGAGCAGGAGGGCAGCUGCUCUCUGCCUGUCUCUGCCUCUCAACAGAGAAGCAAAAGGAUUGCCUCUUUCCUGCAUUUUGAAGAACCUUCCUCCUCAUCCCACCUGAAGAGAGAUAAAUGCCAAAAUCUUAAACUCCAGAAUGUCCCAAGUUGGAAGAGACCUGUAGAAGUGUGGUCAUCUUUGAAGUCUAAUUUAAAUGCAGUUUGCCCACGUUUCCAUGGAAGGCUGAUGGCACCUCUCCUGCCCUCCAAAGCCUGGCUCCAGCAGUCCAUCCCCAGCUGACCCUGUCCCUUCUCAGGCCGCCUGGCCCCACCUCAGAGCCCUUGGCAGCACACCUUGUUCUCAGAGGUGUUUCAG